RNAcentral lists this non-coding RNA (842 nucleotides) under Pongo abelii (Sumatran orangutan). Lineage: Eukaryota; Metazoa; Chordata; Mammalia; Primates; Hominidae. The record is from RNAcentral.
AGUACAAGAAGACAGGUUUGAACCGGACUCCUGUUUCCUCAGAAGUUAACUUGCAAUGUGAAGCUUUUCUUUUCUCAAAAACCUGGUGUCAUAGUGUUGGCUUCUAGUGCAGUGAGCCCCUUUUGCUGCAUAACACUACCUGGUAAUUUGACAUACCAGGUGGUUAGUAACUACUGACUGCCUCCAGGUUGCAACACAAUUAUUACCCACUUGGGUGAAAAGAGAAGACAGGAAAUAAAUAUUGGAGUCGGCUGGCAACCUGUUUACAAAGCAAUUUACAACAGUUCCUUAUUCUUAAGGGGUUAUUCUAAUGUAAGACCUCAGAGAAACAGUGCAGUGUGACAAAGGAGGAAUUUAUCAAAGGAGACAGAAAAAGCAUCAAGGCAAGCUGUGAAAUGGUGCAGUAGGAACCAAAUAGAGAGCCAAAGGAUCUCUCUGUCACUGCAGGCCCUUAGGAGAAUAUACAACUCCUCUGCCACAACGUGAGGGAGAGAAGUCUGCAGACGGCUGACUGGUGAAGACUGAACAAGACGGAAAGGCAAGUUGCUAUGCCCGAAGCCUUUGAAGGGAGCCAGCAGGGUCCAUGGGAGGUUCAGGACACAUAUCUGCAGCCCUGCUUCCGGCCCCACCCUUGGGAAAGCCUUUUGCAGGUGAUCCUGGGCCUCUGCUGGGGAAGGCCCCAAGAGGUGAAGCAUCCUCUGCAGAGGAGAGAGCACAUCCGGAGGUAGAAGACAGACCACUGUCUGGGCUCUGCUUAACUGCUGUGAUUUGGGAUUGUAACUUACCCCCGUGAAGCCUCAGUUUCCCACAUGGAAAUCAAAUUGAUCAUUGUUAUAACAUUU